GUUGGACUUUCCAUUUGGAAAAAAAUGAAUUGAGCAUUUUUGCAAAAUUGAACAUUUUGGUGAACACCCACCUACUCAAGCCUCAGCAUUUUUGUAAGAUGGCCAUUGUCUUCAUAUUCUCUGUUCUACCACCUGGAGGCCUUUGCAACCUUCUGUUCUUCAAAGCUGUUCUUUUGAUGCCACCCCCACCUCUUUCCCCUUCUGCUAGCCUCAAUACCUCUUUCCCCUUCUGCUAGCCUCAAUGUUUGCACAUACACAUACACAUAC
This 267-nucleotide long non-coding RNA is filed under the name Vitis vinifera (wine grape). RNAcentral describes it as "long non-coding RNA (VVIN_LNC003535)". The record is from RNAcentral. Lineage: Eukaryota; Viridiplantae; Streptophyta; Magnoliopsida; Vitales; Vitaceae.